RNAcentral lists this unclassified non-coding RNA (554 nucleotides) under Hevea brasiliensis (rubber tree). Lineage: Eukaryota; Viridiplantae; Streptophyta; Magnoliopsida; Malpighiales; Euphorbiaceae. The record is from RNAcentral.
AUAACUCUCUCUUGGAGUUCGACGGCAACUUCAAAGAGCUAGUUUGAUCAUAAAAAUAGAUAUUUUAGUUAACAUAGAAUGAACUUCAUCUACCUUUUCAACAAGAGACUAGAACAAUUCUAGUGAAUUUUGUAAAAGAAAGAUGAGGAGAGAGAUUUCCGAAUUCUGAACAAGAGAGAUCACCCUAUUAAACAUAAGUUGGUGAUAUAAUAAUGUAAGAAUAGCAAUAACUUUUAAUGUUGGAUCAGAACAUCAGCAAAAAUACAAACACAUUAACCAUAUUAAGGGUCUAUUUGGCAAAAACAACCUUGAUUAUGCUAAUUAAAGGCAAUUAAUAUUUGUUACUAAAGUAGAUUUGUCAUGUUUUGGUCAUAAAAACUUUAGAACUAAACAUCAAUUUCAAAUUGAAUUUUGCAAAAUUAUCCAAAUAAAUGUUUUUCCGAAGAAGCAAUUUCAAUCUCAAUGCCCAAUAGACACUAAAUCUAUCAUAAUUAAAAAUCAAAAUUGAGGGGGAAAAUAAAAAUACUAACGUUGUCAUCCUUCUCUGAAGAUUG